CCUACGGGUGGCAGCAGUGAGGAAUAUUGGUCAAUGGCCGUAGGGCUGAACCAGCCAAGUAGCGUGAGGGAAGACUGCCCUAUGGGUUGUAAACCUCUGUUAUAAAGGAAUAAAGUGCGGCACGUGUGCCUUUUUGUAUGUACUUUAUGAAUAAGGAUCGGCUAACUCCGUGCCAGCAGCCGCGGUAAUCCGGAGGAUCCGAGCGUUAUCCGGAUUUAUUGGGUUUAAAGGGAGCGUAGAUGGGUUGUUAAGUCAGUUGUGAAAGGUUGCGGCUCAACCGUAAAAUUGCAAUUGAUACUGGCAGUCUUGAGUACAGUUGAGGUAGGCGGAAUUCGUGGUGUAGCGGUGAAAUGCUUAGAUAUCACGAAGAACUCCGAUUGCGAAGGCAGCUUACUAAACUGCCACUGACAUUGAUGCUCGAAAGUGUGGGUAUCAAACAGGAUUAGAUACCCUUGUAGUC
Molecule: ribosomal RNA, 460 nt
Filed under: uncultured bacterium
Lineage: Bacteria
Description: partial 16S ribosomal RNA
Rfam family: Bacterial small subunit ribosomal RNA
Source: RNAcentral